ACAAUACCGAGGCUCCCCAGGGCGACACGCUCGGCCUAAUGAACUCCUUGUCGAGAAGAUCCUGCAACUGAUCCCUCAAUUCUCUUAACUCAGCCGGCGCCAUGCGAUACGGGGCCUUUGAUAUCGGCGCGGUCCCGGGAAGCAAGUCUAUCAUGAACUCAAUUUUUCGAUCUGGCGGCAUCCCCGGUAACUCCGCCGGAAACACGUCCGGAAACUCCCGCACAACUUCCAACUCCUCCAGAGCCGGCACCACUCGGUCGACUUCCAUAACGAUUGCCAAAUAAACUGUACAACUGCUAUUAACUAGCUUCCUCGCUCUCGUCGCCGACACCGUUGCGGCGAAACACGAACUCUUGCAAGCUCGAUACGUGAACUCC
This 377-nucleotide long non-coding RNA is filed under the name Ananas comosus (pineapple). RNAcentral's name for it is "long non-coding RNA (ACOM_LNC037925)". The record is from RNAcentral. Lineage: Eukaryota; Viridiplantae; Streptophyta; Magnoliopsida; Poales; Bromeliaceae.